GGUUAAGCGACUAAGCGUACACGGUGGAUGCCCUGGCAGUCAGAGGCGAUGAAGGACGUGCUAAUCUGCGAUAAGCGUCGGUAAGGUGAUAUGAACCGUUAUAACCGGCGAUUUCCGAAUGGGGAAACCCAGUGUGUUUCGACACACUAUCAUUAACUGAAUCCAUAGGUUAAUGAGGCGAACCGGGGGAACUGAAACAUCUAAGUACCCCGAGGAAAAGAAAUCAACCGAGAUUCCCCCAGUAGCGGCGAGCGAACGGGGAGCAGCCCAGAGCCUGAAUCAGUGUGUGUGUUAGUGGAAGCGUCUGGAAAGGCGCGCGAUACAGGGUGACAGCCCCGUACACAAAAAUGCACAUGCUGUGAGCUCGAUGAGUAGGGCGGGACACGUGGUAUCCUGUCUGAAUAUGGGGGGACCAUCCUCCAAGGCUAAAUACUCCUGACUGACCGAUAGUGAACCAGUACCGUGAGGGAAAGGCGAAAAGAACCCCGGCGAGGGGAGUGAAAAAGAACCUGAAACCGUGUACGUACAAGCAGUGGGAGCACGCUUAGGCGUGUGACUGCGUACCUUUUGUAUAAUGGGUCAGCGACUUAUAUUCUGUAGCAAGGUUAACCGAAUAGGGGAGCCGAAGGGAAACCGAGUCUUAACUGGGCGUUAAGUUGCAGGGUAUAGACCCGAAACCCGGUGAUCUAGCCAUGGGCAGGUUGAAGGUUGGGUAACACUAACUGGAGGACCGAACCGACUAAUGUUGAAAAAUUAGCGGAUGACUUGUGGCUGGGGGUGAAAGGCCAAUCAAACCGGGAGAUAGCUGGUUCUCCCCGAAAGCUAUUUAGGUAGCGCCUCGUGAAUUCAUCUCCGGGGGUAGAGCACUGUUUCGGCAAGGGGGUCAUCCCGACUUACCAACCCGAUGCAAACUGCGAAUACCGGAGAAUGUUAUCACGGGAGACACACGGCGGGUGCUAACGUCCGUCGUGAAGAGGGAAACAACCCAGACCGCCAGCUAAGGUCCCAAAGUCAUGGUUAAGUGGGAAACGAUGUGGGAAGGCCCAGACAGCCAGGAUGUUGGCUUAGAAGCAGCCAUCAUUUAAAGAAAGCGUAAUAGCUCACUGGUCGAGUCGGCCUGCGCGGAAGAUGUAACGGGGCUAAACCAUGCACCGAAGCUGCGGCAGCGACGCUUAUGCGUUGUUGGGUAGGGGAGCGUUCUGUAAGCCUGUGAAGGUGUGCUGUGAGGCAUGCUGGAGGUAUCAGAAGUGCGAAUGCUGACAUAAGUAACGAUAAAGCGGGUGAAAAGCCCGCUCGCCGGAAGACCAAGGGUUCCUGUCCAACGUUAAUCGGGGCAGGGUGAGUCGACCCCUAAGGCGAGGCCGAAAGGCGUAGUCGAUGGGAAACAGGUUAAUAUUCCUGUACUUGGUGUUACUGCGAAGGGGGGACGGAGAAGGCUAUGUUGACCGGGCGACGGUUGUCCCGGUUUAAGCGUGUAGGCUGGUUUUCCAGGCAAAUCCGGAAAAUCAAGGCUGAGGCGUGAUGACGAGGCACUACGGUGCUGAAGCAACAAAUGCCCUGCUUCCAGGAAAAGCCUCUAAGCAUCAGGUAACAUCAAAUCGUACCCCAAACCGACACAGGUGGUCAGGUAGAGAAUACCAAGGCGCUUGAGAGAACUCGGGUGAAGGAACUAGGCAAAAUGGUGCCGUAACUUCGGGAGAAGGCACGCUGAUAUGUAGGUGAAGUCCCUCGCGGAUGGAGCUGAAAUCAGUCGAAGAUACCAGCUGGCUGCAACUGUUUAUUAAAAACACAGCACUGUGCAAACACGAAAGUGGACGUAUACGGUGUGACGCCUGCCCGGUGCCGGAAGGUUAAUUGAUGGGGUCAGCGCAAGCGAAGCUCUUGAUCGAAGCCCCGGUAAACGGCGGCCGUAACUAUAACGGUCCUAAGGUAGCGAAAUUCCUUGUCGGGUAAGUUCCGACCUGCACGAAUGGCGUAAUGAUGGCCAGGCUGUCUCCACCCGAGACUCAGUGAAAUUGAACUCGCUGUGAAGAUGCAGUGUACCCGCGGCAAGACGGAAAGACCCCGUGAACCUUUACUAUAGCUUGACACUGAACAUUGAGCCUUGAUGUGUAGGAUAGGUGGGAGGCUUAGAAGUGUGGACGCCAGUCUGCAUGGAGCCGACCUUGAAAUACCACCCUUUAAUGUUUGAUGUUCUAACGUUGACCCGUAAUCCGGGUUGCGGACAGUGUCUGGUGGGUAGUUUGACUGGGGCGGUCUCCUCCUAAAGAGUAACGGAGGAGCACGAAGGUUGGCUAAUCCUGGUCGGACAUCAGGAGGUUAGUGCAAUGGCAUAAGCCAGCUUGACUGCGAGCGUGACGGCGCGAGCAGGUGCGAAAGCAGGUCAUAGUGAUCCGGUGGUUCUGAAUGGAAGGGCCAUCGCUCAACGGAUAAAAGGUACUCCGGGGAUAACAGGCUGAUACCGCCCAAGAGUUCAUAUCGACGGCGGUGUUUGGCACCUCGAUGUCGGCUCAUCACAUCCUGGGGCUGAAGUAGGUCCCAAGGGUAUGGCUGUUCGCCAUUUAAAGUGGUACGCGAGCUGGGUUUAGAACGUCGUGAGACAGUUCGGUCCCUAUCUGCCGUGGGCGCUGGAGAACUGAGGGGGGCUGCUCCUAGUACGAGAGGACCGGAGUGGACGCAUCACUGGUGUUCGGGUUGUCAUGCCAAUGGCACUGCCCGGUAGCUAAAUGCGGAAGAGAUAAGUGCUGAAAGCAUCUAAGCACGAAACUUGCCCCGAGAUGAGUUCUCCCUGACUCCUUGAGAGUCCUGAAGGAACGUUGAAGACGACGACGUUGAUAGGCCGGGUGUGUAAGCGCAGCGAUGCGUUGAGCUAACCGGUACUAAUGAACCGUGAGGCUUAACCUU
RNAcentral lists this ribosomal RNA (2904 nucleotides) under Escherichia coli. RNAcentral describes it as "23S ribosomal RNA". It matches the Rfam family "Bacterial large subunit ribosomal RNA". The record is from RNAcentral. Lineage: Bacteria; Pseudomonadati; Pseudomonadota; Gammaproteobacteria; Enterobacterales; Enterobacteriaceae. RNAcentral also lists the same sequence under 1 other name.